RNAcentral lists this non-coding RNA (24 nucleotides) under Arabidopsis thaliana (thale cress). The record is from RNAcentral. Lineage: Eukaryota; Viridiplantae; Streptophyta; Magnoliopsida; Brassicales; Brassicaceae.
UAAAAACGUUGGACCGGCUCUGUG